RNAcentral lists this ribosomal RNA (310 nucleotides) under uncultured bacterium. Its description in RNAcentral is "partial 16S ribosomal RNA". It matches the Rfam family "Bacterial small subunit ribosomal RNA", at positions 503 to 807 of the family's 1533-position model. The record is from RNAcentral.
AAGAGACAGCAGUAGCCACGGGAAUACGAAGGGUGCAAGCGUUACUCGGAAUUACUGGGCGUAAAGCGUGCGUAGGUGGUGGUUUAAGUCCGUAGUGAAAGCCCUGGGCUCAACCUGGGAAUUGCAGUGGAUACUGGAUCACUAGAGUGUGGUAGAGGAUAGUGGAAUUUCCGGUGUAGCAGUGAAAUGCGUAGAGAUCGGAAGGAACAUCUGUGGCGAAGGCGACUAUCUGGGCCAACACUGACACUGAGGCACGAAAGCGUGGGGAGCAAACAGGAUUAGAUACCCCUGUAGUCCCUGUCUCUUAUAC